UGGCAGCAGCUGAUGCUGCAGAGAAGCAGGCAUGACCGGAAUUAAGUGGGCUUGCAGAAUCACAGGCCCCUUGGAGAUCUGUGGGACGGACAGCAAAGAAAAGGAGACCAGAGCCCUGUGGCAGCCUGUCCCCAAGCCACACAGCCAGGAAAUGGCAGGACUGGGACCAGCAGAGAUUGUGGAGGCUGUGAAGAAGGAUUCUGAGCAGGACCUCAGUGAGGCCACUGUCACAGCGAGGCCAGUGUCACAGGACAGAAGCACCAGAGAGCCUGGGUCAUUCCUUGAAGGGCAGCCGUCCAGGAGAGCCACCUGAGGGCAUCAGUCUAUGGCGAAUGAGCAGACCCUCAGAAGGAGCCAACUGGACACAUAAACAGAAGGGAUGAAUGAACAGACCACCCCUUAACAUGGGCUCGCCCAACACAGCUCCUGGCCUGGCGUUUCUCUUCUCCUCAGCAUUUCUGUGCAUUUCCAGUCUUUCCCCAUUUGGUGCAGUCUACAUUUCUGAGAAUAUUCUGGAUCACUUGUUGGAUAAUCAACCAAUGGAACUGCCCAGGGGAGAACCUGAUUAUGCCUAGUAAAGACCAAAUCUAGCCCCAAUCCUCCUUCUUCCAAGCCCACACGGCCACAGCUGGAAAUCCAUUUGCUUCUUAAAUGAGCCAAAAGAUGGCAAUUCUCUUCUUCUUUCAUCCUUUCUGCAC
RNAcentral lists this long non-coding RNA (698 nucleotides) under Piliocolobus tephrosceles (Ugandan red Colobus). RNAcentral's name for it is "lncRNA (ENSPTEG00000015462.1)". The record is from RNAcentral. Lineage: Eukaryota; Metazoa; Chordata; Mammalia; Primates; Cercopithecidae.